This 305-nucleotide ribosomal RNA is filed under the name uncultured bacterium. Its description in RNAcentral is "bacterial SSU rRNA". It matches the Rfam family "Bacterial small subunit ribosomal RNA", at positions 337 to 640 of the family's 1533-position model. The record is from RNAcentral.
ACCUACGGGGGGCAGCAGUGAGGAAUAUUGGUCAAUGGUCGGGAGACUGAACCAGCCAAGCCGCGUGAGGGAUGAAGGUACAGAGUAUCGUAAACCUCUUUUGUCAGGGAACAAAGGCGGGGACGUGUCCCCGGAUGAGUGUACCUGAAGAAAAAGCAUCGGCUAACUCCGUGCCAGCAGCCGCGGUAAUACGGAGGAUGCGGGCGUUAUCCGGAUUUAUUGGGUUUAAAGGGUGCGCAGGCGGUCUGUUAAGUCAGCGGUCAAAGCCCGGGGCUCAACCCCGGCCCGCCGUUGAAACUGGCAGU